RNAcentral lists this transfer RNA (73 nucleotides) under Monodelphis domestica (gray short-tailed opossum). It matches the Rfam family "tRNA". From Rfam's summary of the family: Transfer RNA (tRNA) molecules are approximately 80 nucleotides in length. Their secondary structure includes four short double-helical elements and three loops (D, anti-codon, and T loops). Further hydrogen bonds mediate the characteristic L-shaped molecular structure. tRNAs have two regions of fundamental functional importance: the anti-codon, which is responsible for specific mRNA codon recognition, and the 3' end, to which the tRNAs corresponding amino acid is attached (by aminoacyl-tRNA synthetases). tRNAs cope with the degeneracy of the genetic code in two manners: having more than one tRNA (with a specific anti-codon) for a particular amino acid; and 'wobble' base-pairing, i.e. permitting non-standard base-pairing at the 3rd anti-codon position. Lineage: Eukaryota; Metazoa; Chordata; Mammalia; Didelphimorphia; Didelphidae. The record is from Rfam by way of RNAcentral.
UGCUAAGUGGCUCAGUGGAUUGAGUUCUUGACUUUGAAUCUGGAAGACCUAAGUUCAAAUUUGGCCUUAGUAA